UUGAGCACUCUAAGGAGACUGCCGGUGAUAAGCCGCAAAGAAGGUGGGGAUGACUUCGAAUCCUCAUGGCCCUUACGGGCUGGGCUACACACGUGCUACAAUGGCGGUAACAAUGGGACNCUNAAGGGUAAACCCUUCNCAAAUCUCAAGAAAGCCGUCUCAGUUCGGAUUGGGCUCUGCAACUCGGNCCCAUGAAAUUGAGAAUCGCUAGUAAUCGUGAGAUCAGCAUGCCACGGUGAAUACGUUCCCGGGCCUUGUACACACCGCCCAGUGCACACCAUGGGANUUGGUUUUACCUGAAGGUAGUGCGCUAACCGCAANGGGGCAUCU
RNAcentral lists this ribosomal RNA (330 nucleotides) under alpha proteobacterium K-2034b. RNAcentral describes it as "bacterial SSU rRNA". It matches the Rfam family "Bacterial small subunit ribosomal RNA", at positions 1131 to 1454 of the family's 1533-position model. Lineage: Bacteria; Pseudomonadati; Pseudomonadota; Alphaproteobacteria. The record is from RNAcentral.